This 1435-nucleotide ribosomal RNA is filed under the name Myxobolus sp. Its description in RNAcentral is "SSU rRNA". It matches the Rfam family "Eukaryotic small subunit ribosomal RNA", at positions 1 to 1314 of the family's 1831-position model. Lineage: Eukaryota; Metazoa; Cnidaria; Myxozoa; Bivalvulida; Myxobolidae. The record is from RNAcentral.
UCUGGUUGAUUUCUGCCAGUGGGCGUACGCUUUUUUCGAAGAUUAAGCCAUGCAUAUGCUAGUUCAUACAUUAAAAAAAAAUGUGAGACUGUGGAAGGCUCAGUAUAUCAGUUAUAAUCUGCUCGAUUGUAAAGGUUAUUGGAUAACCGUGGGAAAUCUAGAGCUAAUACAUGUACUAGCGUGGAGGGGGUUAACGCCACCAACGCGACUGUUGCAUUUAUUAGAAAAUUACCAACCGUGUUGUGGUGCACGUUGCCGUGACGCGUGGUGAAUCUAGAUAACUGUGCAGAUCGUAUGGCCCUGAGCCGGCGACAUUUCGAUUGAAUUUCUGCCCUAUCAACUUUGGUCGGCAGUUUAGUGGACUGCCGAGGUUAUUACGGGUAACGGGGAAUCAGGGUUCGAUUCCGGAGAGGGAGCCUGAGAAACGGCUACCACAUCCAAGGAUGGCAGCAGGCGCGCAAAUUACCCAAUCCAGACAAUGGGAGGUGGUGAAGAAAAGUACCGAAUGACGGCCAAAGGUUGUCAAUUUGGAAUGGAAACAAUUUAAGAAAUUGGUUUGAGUAACGACUGGAGGGCAAGUCUGGUGCCAGCAGCCGCGGUAAUUCCAGCUCCAGUAGCGUAUCUCAAAGUUGCUGCGCUUAAAACGCUCGUAGUUGGAUCAGAGAGCACGUAGUAGUUGGUGCUGGCACGCAAUAUACACUCGGUACAUAGCCAGUGUGUUGUGUGUUGGUGCCUCUAAGCUAGUGCGUGUUAAUUGCAUGUGAGGAUGGUAGUUGACCUUGAGUGAGUCGAUGACCGUGUCUCACAGAGUGUGCCUUGAGUAAAUCAGAGUGCUUAAAGCAAGUGUUUGCUUGAAUGUUGAUAGCAUGGAACGAACGAUCGUGUAUGGUGUGCAGUAAAUUGACGUUGUGACAGAGUUGCAGCGGUCUGUUACUGCAUGACACCGACCACCAGUUACGGAUGUUGGUUCCGUAUUGGGGUAAUGAUUAAGAGGAGCGGUUGGGGGCAUUGGUAUUUGGCAGCGAGAGGUGAAAUUCUUGGACCUGCCAAGGACCAACAAAUGCGAAGGCAUCUGCCAAGACCGUAUCCAUUAAUCAAGAACGAAAGUGAGAGGUUCGAAGACGAUCAGAUACCGUCCUAGUUCUCACUGUAAACUAUGCCGACCCGGGAUGAGUUUGGAGCAAUUUCCACGCUCGAGGUUGGUCCCCCUGGGAAACCUAAAGUUUUUCGGUUGCGGGGGGAGUAUGGUCGCAAGGCUGAAACUUAAAGGAAUUGACGGAAGGGCACCACCAGGGGUGGAGCCUGCGGCUUAAUUUGACUCAACACGGGAAAACUUACCUGGUCCGGACAUCAAAAGGAUAAACUGACUAACAGAUCAUAUUUUGAUAUGAUGAUUGGUGGUGCAUGGCCGUUCUUAGUUCGUGGAGUGAUCUGU